Molecule: ribosomal RNA, 482 nt
Filed under: uncultured bacterium
Lineage: Bacteria
Description: partial 16S ribosomal RNA
Rfam family: Bacterial small subunit ribosomal RNA
Source: RNAcentral
AUUGAACGCUGGCGGCAUGCUUUACACAUGCAAGUCGAACGGCAGCGCGGGGCAACCUGGCGGCGAGUGGCGAACGGGUGAGUAAUAUAUCGGAACGUACCCAGAAGUGGGGGAUAACGUAGCGAAAGUUACGCUAAUACCGCAUACGAUCUACGGAUGAAAGUAGGGGACCGCAAGGCCUUAUGCUUUUGGAGCGGCCGAUAUCUGAUUAGCUAGUUGGUGAGGUAAAGGCUCACCAAGGCGACGAUCAGUAGCUGGUCUGAGAGGACGACCAGCCACACUGGAACUGAGACACGGUCCAGACUCCUACGGGAGGCAGCAGUGGGGAAUUUUGGACAAUGGGCGCAAGCCUGAUCCAGCAAUGCCGCGUGAGUGAAGAAGGCCUUCGGGUUGUAAAGCUCUUUUGUCAGGGAAGAGACGGUAGAGGCUAAUAUCCUUUGCUAAUGACGGUACCUGAAGAAUAAGCACCGGCUAACUACGUG